RNAcentral lists this ribosomal RNA (433 nucleotides) under uncultured bacterium. RNAcentral's name for it is "partial 16S ribosomal RNA". It matches the Rfam family "Bacterial small subunit ribosomal RNA", at positions 29 to 507 of the family's 1533-position model. The record is from RNAcentral.
AACGAACGCUGGCGGCAUGCCUAACACAUGCAAGUCGAACGAGACCUUCGGGUCUAGUGGCGCACGGGUGCGUAACGCGUGGGAACCUGCCCUUAGGUUCGGAAUAACUCCCCGAAAGGGGUGCUAAUACCGGAUAAUGUCUUCGGACCAACGAUUUAUCGCCUUUGGAUGGGCCCGCGUUGGAUUAGUUAGUUGGUAGGGUAAAAGCCUACCAAGGCGACGAUCCAUAGCUGGUCUGAGAGGAUGAUCAGCCACACUGGGACUGAGACACGGCCCAGACUCCUACGGGAGGCAGCAGUGGGGAAUAUUGGACAAUGGGCGAAAGCCUGAUCCAGCAAUGCCGCGUGAGUGAUGAAGGCCUUAGGAUUGUAAAGCUCUUUUACCCGGGAUGAUAAUGACGGUACCGGAAGAAUAAGCUCCGGCUAACUCCGUG